UGAGGAAUAUUGCGCAAUGGUCGCAAGACUGACGCAGCAACGCCGCGUGAGGGAUGAAGUACUUCGGUAUGUAAACCUCUGUUAGAAGGGAAGAACGGGUGGAUGUCGAACAGGCAUUCAUCGUGACGGUACCUUCAGAGAAAGCCCCGGCUAACUCCGUGCCAGCAGCCGCGGUAAUACGGGGGGGGCAAGCGUUGUCCGGAAUUAUUGGGCGUAAAGGGCGCGUAGGUGGGACAGCAAGUCUGGGGUGCAAUCUUACGGCUUAACGGUAAGGUAGCCCUGGAUACUACUGUUCUUGAGUUCGGAAGAGGGUAGUGGAAUUCCUGGUGUAGCGGUGAAAGGCGUAGAUAUCAGGAAGAACACCGGUGGCGAAGGCGGCUACCUGGUCCGAUACUGACACUGAGGCGCGACAGUGCGGGGAGCAAACAG
RNAcentral lists this ribosomal RNA (429 nucleotides) under uncultured bacterium. RNAcentral describes it as "bacterial SSU rRNA". It matches the Rfam family "Bacterial small subunit ribosomal RNA", at positions 355 to 775 of the family's 1533-position model. The record is from RNAcentral.